Long non-coding RNA from Mustela erminea (ermine), 197 nucleotides. RefSeq lists it as uncharacterized. NCBI's taxonomy places the organism in Eukaryota, Metazoa, Chordata, Mammalia, Carnivora, Mustelidae. The record is from RefSeq and is a predicted model, not a curated record. The transcript is spliced from 3 exons.
GCUUUCAUAGAACCACAGGAUAUUAAUGCCAUGAGGGAACCGGGAGAUGAUGUGGACCCCAUUCCAUCAUUUAUAUCAAGGAAAACCAAGGCUCACAGAGAUCUCAGCAAGCACGGAAUAUGGAACUGUUCAAAUCAGGAAUAGAUGGGGACUUUGAAGAUAAGGUCUUUCCAAAUUCCUAUGAAGGUGAGAACAGC